Molecule: ribosomal RNA, 233 nt
Filed under: uncultured Lactobacillus sp.
Lineage: Bacteria; Bacillati; Bacillota; Bacilli; Lactobacillales; Lactobacillaceae
Description: partial 16S ribosomal RNA
Rfam family: Bacterial small subunit ribosomal RNA
Source: RNAcentral
CCCAAGAGAUCGGGAUAACACCUGGAAACAGAUGCUAAUACCGGAUAACAACAGAUGAUGCCUAUCAACUGUUUAAAAGAUGGUUCUGCUAUCACUCUUGGAUGGACCUGCGGUGCAUUAGCUAGUUGGUAGGGUAACGGCCUGCCAAGGCGAUGAUGCAUAGCCGAGUUGAGAGACUGAUCGGCCACAUUGGGACUGAGACACGGCCCAAACUCCUACGGGAGGCAGCAGUA